This 467-nucleotide ribosomal RNA is filed under the name uncultured bacterium. Its description in RNAcentral is "partial 16S ribosomal RNA". It matches the Rfam family "Bacterial small subunit ribosomal RNA", at positions 28 to 506 of the family's 1533-position model. The record is from RNAcentral.
GACGAACGCUGGCGGCGUGCUUAACACAUGCAAGUCGAACGGAAAGGCCCUGCUUUUGUGGGGUGCUCGAGUGGCGAACGGGUGAGUAACACGUGAGUAACCUGCCCUUGACUUUGGGAUAACUUCAGGAAACUGGGGCUAAUACCGGAUAGGAGCUCCUGCUGCAUGGUGGGGGUUGGAAAGUUUCGGCGGUUGGGGAUGGACUCGCGGCUUAUCAGCUUGUUGGUGGGGUAGUGGCUCACCAAGGCUUUGACGGGUAGCCGGCCUGAGAGGGUGACCGGCCACAUUGGGACUGAGAUACGGCCCAGACGCCUACGGGAGGCAGCAGUGGGGAAUAUUGCACAAUGGGCGGAAGCCUGAUGCAGCAACGCCGCGUGCGGGAUGACGGCCUUCGGGUUGUAAACCGCUUUCGCCUGUGACGAAGCGUGAGUGACGGGAAUGGGUAAAGAAGCACCGGCUAACUACGU